RNAcentral lists this ribosomal RNA (500 nucleotides) under uncultured bacterium. RNAcentral describes it as "bacterial SSU rRNA". It matches the Rfam family "Bacterial small subunit ribosomal RNA", at positions 355 to 873 of the family's 1533-position model. The record is from RNAcentral.
UGGGGAAUAUUGGACAAUGGGCGAAAGCCUGAUCCAGCCAUGCCGCGUGAGUGAUGAAGGCCUUAGGGUUGUAAAGCUCUUUCAGUGGGGAAGAUAAUGACGGUACCCACAGAAGAAGCCCCGGCUAACUUCGUGCCAGCAGCCGCGGUAAUACGAAGGGGGCUAGCGUUGUUCGGAUUUACUGGGCGUAAAGCGCACGUAGGCGGAUCGUUAAGUCAGGGGUGAAAUCCUGGAGCUCAACUCCAGAACUGCCUUUGAUACUGGCGAUCUCGAGUCCGGAAGAGGUGAGUGGAACUCCUAGUGUAGAGGUGGAAUUCGUAGAUAUUAGGAAGAACACCAGUGGCGAAGGCGGCUCACUGGUCCGGUACUGACGCUGAGGUGCGAAAGCGUGGGGAGCAAACAGGGUUAGAUACCCUGGUAGUCCACGCCGUAAACUAUGAGAGCUAGCCGUUGGAGGGUUUACCCUUCAGUGGCGCAGCUAACGCANUAAGCUCUCCGCC